GCCAUCUUAGCUCAGUUGGUAGAGCAACGGUUUUGUAAACCGUGGGUCGUCAGUUCAAAUCUGACAGAUGGCU
This 73-nucleotide transfer RNA is filed under the name Minisyncoccota bacterium. Its description in RNAcentral is "tRNA-Thr". It matches the Rfam family "tRNA". Rfam says of the family: Transfer RNA (tRNA) molecules are approximately 80 nucleotides in length. Lineage: Bacteria; Bacillati; Minisyncoccota. The record is from RNAcentral.